GACGGAGGAUGCAAGCGUUAUCCGGAAUGAUUGGGCGUAAAGCGUUCGCAGGUGGCUAUUCAAGUCUGCUGUCAAAGACCGGGGCUUAACCCCAGAGAGGCAGUGGAAACUGAAUGGCUGGAGUGCAGUAGGGGUAGAGGGAAUUCCCAGUGUAGCGGUGAAAUGCGUAGAGAUUGGGAAGAACACCGGUGGCGAAAGCGCUCUGCUGGACUGCAACUGACACUGAGGGACGAAAGCUAGGGGAGCGAAAGGG
RNAcentral lists this ribosomal RNA (253 nucleotides) under uncultured bacterium. Its description in RNAcentral is "partial 16S ribosomal RNA". It matches the Rfam family "Bacterial small subunit ribosomal RNA", at positions 524 to 776 of the family's 1533-position model. The record is from RNAcentral.